This is a non-coding RNA of Oncorhynchus mykiss (rainbow trout), 2520 nucleotides long. NCBI's taxonomy places the organism in Eukaryota, Metazoa, Chordata, Actinopteri, Salmoniformes, Salmonidae. The record is from RefSeq and is a predicted model, not a curated record.
ACUGUGGUUGUUGUGUUUGAACUUUUGGACCUGGUAUGACCCCCCAGAUGUAUCGCCCAUAUGUGUAUCUGAUGAAUCCGGAAUGUCCUGGGCAUAUGCCUUAUAAAUGUCCAGAACAAGCAAUUUUUAAAAUAAAGACUUGAAUAUUAAACAUCUAAAAUAUGUCUACAAGGGCAAUUAUCGGUGUGCUUUGCAGCUCAUGUCAAGAAUCCAACGACAAAAGCCUGGAGGAUGUUUUGCGUGAGGCUCCCGAAUGUUUUAAGGGCUUUUUGUGUACAAGCGACGGGCAUAUGUCUUACAUCUUUAGCCCGGAGGAAUCUACGGUUAAGAUAUUCACAGACAGCGUGUCCCAACCCUUUUAUCGGGCAGAACCCGAGAGUUUUUCUCCAGCGCUAAGGAUGAGAGAAUGGCUUAAAAUAAGACUAGCGCUGUGUCAAAUGGAGCGCGCCCUAAGUGUUUCAAGGCUGCCCGGAUAUGCGUUGGAAGAACAGGUCUGUGGCCGAAGUGAUAUAAUGGCCAUAAGAAUCGCGUCAAUGGCGUAUACCCCGGACUCCAGAGUGACAAUUUUAGCAUGUGAACAAUUUGAUAGUGCAAAUGCUUCGAAAACGGUCAGAUCAUAUGUAUCUUCCAAAGCAUGCAAGGAUGUAAAUUUUUUCCAAAUAAUGUUCAGUUUUAAAUGGCGCGAUUACCAUAUUUUCAGAACACUGAUGAAUAAGCUGGACAGUCUUUUCGAAAAUCGGGAACAAUUACGGCGAUGGCCUCGGUUAUCGUUGAGACAUUCCCAAGACCCACAAGGCAGAAGGCGGAUCUAUCCCUGGAGUGAAAACGGCCAGAGCUUCGAUGGAGCGGGCAAAAGACUUUGCGACGGGGAGUUGGAAACGGAUAACGGUCAGGGCUAAACGGACCCUAUAUUUGUAAGAAAUAGUAAAACAUGUUGAAUUAUAAAGUGUGUUAAAAUGUAUGUGUUAAAUAUUUUGGAAUUCAAUAAAAGGAGUUUUAAAAAACUGUAUCUCACCCGUAACUAUGCGAAACGGUGUUUCACAUCUUCAGCCAACUCGGUCGCGAAGAAAAAGACAUUGAAAAUCAGGGUGCAUGCAUGAGUGUGCGUGUGAAGGAGCAGCAGGAGUGUGUGUGUGUGCGUUUCAAAAAACAAAGGGUUUGUUUGUGUGGGUUCAACAUGGGGUCCCAUCUGUAGAGAAUCGUUUGAAAUCCCAAAGUUUGAACUAUCCAGCAUAUGGCCUGUCAAGGUAUCGGCCGACCGCCCGGGGUUAAACCAGGAUAUCUAAUCAACGCCCCCCCAGGACCCCCCAAACAAAACGCAUGACAGAACGGUUCUUUGAAUUCACAGCCUUUUGGUCUAAAGCAAACAUACAGUUGGUUGCAUACAGGCUAUCUCUCGAAACUCAUUCCGUACUUUAACAAGUUAGGGACAGAACGUCUAUUUUUAACAAGUUUAGCACGGCUUUAGCGCAAACCCAAAGGCCCGAAUAUUUAACUGCCAGGACAGAUAGCAUAGGCUGUAAAGCCCUCCUAAUGGAUAUUUCUGGAGGUGAGUAAAUGAGAAAUAUAGUUUAAGAUUUGUUUGAAUAUUAUUGUAAUAACAAACCCCCGAGUUAUUUGGGUAUUUCAGACCAAAGGCCAAUAUGUGUUAAAAAGUGUAUAUAUAUCGUAUAACGGUUAAUAUUGUCUAACGGUGGCUAGAGUCCCAAACCUUUACGCAGCUUUUACACGGUUUACCUGAUCUGGAACAACAUGAGGGGGAUACACACUCUCAAAAAUCAGGCAGUCAGUCGCCAUCAGACUUUUUUCGUUUCGACAUACCGCCAAGAAUGAUAAAGGAUUCGUUAUGGACAGCGGACACGAGUGACAUGGAUGCAAUUCUACCGUUCUGUACGCGCGUUUUUUCAAACUCACCGGGAACGUCCACCCCCUCACGACAUAUUCCAGACCCCAACAGGCAACGCACAACUGUGGCCCAAGUACAUUGCUCAGAUUCAACCCCACCCGAAAAGUACGGCUGGGCCGGGAACUUGAGGCUUCGCGAGCAGGCGCUCCAAGGACAUGACUGCCCGGAGACAGACCCUGCAGAAUCGGGAACGCUAGCUGAAAAAAGCCCAGAGCCCUCGGUAUCAGCAAUUCGUCAGAACAAGCGCCAAAAAAGCCUAGACUCAGCCCCGGCGAAAAACGGCACAGACGGACACAUACACCUAGAGCUGGGGGAUUCCGGCGCCCCGAACAUUCCCGAUGAAACAACCGAUAGACCUGUUUUUAAUGACAUUUCAGAUGUUGACGACCAGCUUUUCUGUGAUGCGGCCAACCUUAUCGACCCCGUCAAUUCUACGGCAUCAGUACCUGCAGUAGAACAAGAAAGGUUUUUCACAUUAUUUUCCAGGGCUUUGAAAUCAAGGAAUGUUUUGCUAUACAAACGAGUGGGUGAUUUAAUUGAGAGACAGUACAGAGACGAUAUGUUAUUCUGGCAUAGAACAAUUCCCCGCAUGUUAAACAGCAAACCCAUUAAAA